AUAGGGAGACGGGGAAUUGAAAUUGGUCGUGUGAGUGUAUUGUAGACGGUAUUACAUAAUCACAAAGUAUUUUUUUUGAACUUCUAUAAUCACUUAAAGUUUCUACAUGGUUAUAUUAUAUAGUUUUAUGUGUGGCUUAUAUGCGACAAAUGAGUAUCGUUAUAAGAGAACAGAUGCAUAUAUUUAAUUUAACUAAAUGGCAGACAACAUAUUCCUUUCGUUUAAAGCUUUAUGAAAGUAGAUUCCUAUAUUUUGGUACAACCUUAUUCUUCUAACCUCUGAUAUUCCGCAUUUCUGAUAAAAUAACUAGUUUUGCUAUAAAUUAACUUUUAAUAAUUCUUUUGUUAUAUAGCAAUGACGAAUUAGUGUAGUUGACAUAUAACCCAUCUAUUUUCAUAAAUAAAAAGUAGAAUUUUUUUAUUUUAUUAUAUAAAA
Molecule: long non-coding RNA, 435 nt
Filed under: Brassica napus (rape)
Lineage: Eukaryota; Viridiplantae; Streptophyta; Magnoliopsida; Brassicales; Brassicaceae
Description: long non-coding RNA (BNAP_LNC019231)
Source: RNAcentral